RNAcentral lists this long non-coding RNA (1162 nucleotides) under Sus scrofa (pig). Its description in RNAcentral is "lncRNA (ENSSSCG00060073640.1)". Lineage: Eukaryota; Metazoa; Chordata; Mammalia; Artiodactyla; Suidae. The record is from RNAcentral.
UUUUUUUUUUAAGUGAGGGCUCAUGACAAGUUAAUUCAUGGCCCUGGAGUUGUGGGUGAUCUGAUACAGCAAUACUUGGUAUUACAACUGCCCUUCUGUUUUAAGAAAUCUCUUUGGGAGGAAGCCUAAAUUAGCACAAUAAAAUAUCCUCUAUCUCUAAUCAUACAAUUUAUCCUACAAACCAAGAUACUUUCGAAAGUGAAAAGGGAAACUUUCUAAGUAUUUAUUUAUUAAUCAACAAACUGUUUUUAUUAUAUUUUAUUCUAAAAUAGGAAAACACACAUUCACUAUGUUAGAGCAAAAAAUUUUUCUUUGUAUUAUAUGAACACCUAUAAUAUCAUAAGUAGAUUAAUUACUCUUGGUGUAUAUUCAUGUACUUUAAUCCAUUUUCUUAAAGAGUCUGCCUCUAUUAUUGUGUCCCUGAUAUUUUCUCUGGGAAAAAAAGUUUGAAAAUUUUUCACUAAGUUAACAAUCUUUUUGAAAGUUUCAUUUUAUGUCAAAUACUCUGAAACCACUGACAUCUUCAUGUGGCUCUUCUGUAUUGAUAUUACUUUUAAUAAGAAAACUCUUUCUCGGCAGAUGCUGAGAAACCUGGUAAGCUCAAAGCAAAUUUUACUAACUAGAGGAUAUUCUCAAUUCUUUUUUUUUUUUUAACAGCAAAGUUGUAAGUAUUUCAGUCUAACUACUUUACAGAUACAACCUUUUUUAUUUUAUUUUAUUUUAUUUUAUUUUAUUUUUUUCACAAAUGCACCUAUGGCAUAUGGAAGCCCCCAGGCUAGGGGUCGAUUCAGAGCUGCAGCUGCCAGCCUACACCACAGCAAGGCGAUGCGGGAUCCAAGCCGUAUCUGCAAACAAUGCCACAGCCUGCAGCAGUGCUGGAUCCUUAAUCCACUGAGCAAGGUCAGGAAUCGAACCCAUGUCCUCAUGGUUACUAGUCAGGUUCGUUACCACUGAACCACAGUGGAUACUCCUCAGACUUUUUUUCAAUGGGUCUCAUCAUUUCAUAAACCACCUACAAGAGACUAAACCUCAUCUCUGAACUCAAGGGUCAUAUUUUCAGAUUUACAUCUCCCCCUGGAUGUUUAAUAGAUGUUUCACACUCAACAUCACCCCAUGCCAACCUCCUGACCUUCCCCACUAAGACUGAUGCUCCUCCAGUGGG